Molecule: long non-coding RNA, 502 nt
Organism: Heteronotia binoei (common prickly gecko)
Lineage: Eukaryota; Metazoa; Chordata; Lepidosauria; Squamata; Gekkonidae
Exons: 2
Source: RefSeq, a predicted model, not a curated record
AGCUGGAGGCUUUAUGAGCUCAUAACUGUGCUGAUCCUUUGAGUGAUGAUGUAUCACACUGCAUAGUUUCAUAAACUCAUAUACCAUCCUCGAGGCUGGGCAGCACUGGCUUCACCUAAAUGACAUGUUCCUCUGCAUAGGCUUCUAACAUCAUCAGAAUCCCAGGAAAAUGACCCGAUGUCCCUGCAGGCCCCCUACCCUUGCCAGAGGCAGAAGAAAGAAGCGUUCUAAGAAAGGGAGGAAAAGGCAUGGCGGGAGAAAGUCGAAGUCUGGGAGAGCAUCUGAAGCUCACACUGUGUAUUACUACAGGAAGAUAAGAUGAACACCACAAGCUUCCUUUCCCAGUGUGCAGCUGCUUUGGCAAUGUCAUUCAGUACCAACGAGUAUCCUGUCACAUGGGUGAACCCCUCACUCUACAAGCAAAACCAGGUGGACUGACAUUGCAAGAUGCUGAAGUCCUACCAAGAGGAGCAGUCUGUCAUUAAACAUGAAGCCGCAAAUU